AUUGAACGCUGGCGGCAGGCCUAACACAUGCAAGUCGAGCGAGCGGCGGACGGGUGAGUAAUGUAUGGGGAUCUGCCCGAUAGAGAGGGAUAACUACUGGAAACGGUGGCUAAUACCGCAUACCAUCGGAUGUGCCCCGGUGGGAUUAGCUAGUAGGGGGGGUAACGGCUCACCUAGGCGACGAUCCCUAGCUGGGCUGAGAGGAUGACCAGCCACACUGGAACUGAGACACGGUCCAGACUCCUACGGGAGGCAGCAGUGGGGAAUAUGGCACAAUGGGCGCAAGCCUGAUGCAGCCAUGCCGCGUGUAUGAAGAAGGCCUUCGGUUUGUAAAGUACUUUCAGCGAGGAGGCGUUACUCGCAGAAGAAGCACCGGCUAACUCCGUGCCAGCAGCCGCGGUAAUAC
RNAcentral lists this ribosomal RNA (406 nucleotides) under uncultured bacterium. Its description in RNAcentral is "partial 16S ribosomal RNA". It matches the Rfam family "Bacterial small subunit ribosomal RNA", at positions 30 to 526 of the family's 1533-position model. The record is from RNAcentral.